This 844-nucleotide ribosomal RNA is filed under the name uncultured bacterium. RNAcentral describes it as "bacterial SSU rRNA". It matches the Rfam family "Bacterial small subunit ribosomal RNA", at positions 35 to 911 of the family's 1533-position model. The record is from RNAcentral.
GCUGGCGGCAGGCCUAACACAUGCAAGUCGAACGGAGUUAUAUUGUAGCUUGCUAUGGUAUAACUUAGUGGUAGACGGGUGAGUAAUGUAUAGGAAUCUACCUAGUAGUACGGAAUAAUUGUUGGAAACGGCAACUAAUACCGUAUACGCCCUACGGGGAAAAAUUUAUUGCUAUUAGAUGAGCCUAUAUUAGAUUAGCUAGUUGGUGGAGUAAUAGCCUACCAAGGCAAUGAUCUAUAGCUGAUCUGAGAGGAUGAUCAGCCACACUGGAACUGAGAUACGGUCCAGACUCCUACGGGAGGCAGCAGUGGGGAAUAUUGGACAAUGGGCGAAAGCCUGAUCCAGCCAUGCCGCAUGAGUGAAGAAGGCCUUUGGGUUGUAAAGCUCUUUUAGUGAGGAAGAUAAUGACGGUACUCACAGAAGAAGUCCUGGCUAACUCCGUGCCAGCAGCCGCGGUAAUACGGAGAGGGCUAGCGUUAUUCGGAAUUAUUGGGCGUAAAGGGCGCGUAGGCGGAUUAGUAAGUUAGAAGUGAAAUCCCAAGGCUCAACCUUGGAAUUGCUUUUAAAACUGCUAAUCUAGAGAUUGAAAGAGGAUAGAGGAAUUCCUAGUGUAGAGGUGAAAUUCGUAAAUAUUAGGAGGAACACCAGUGGCGAAGGCGUCUAUCUGGUUCAAAUCUGACGCUGAGGCGCGAAGGCGUGGGGAGCAAACAGGAUUAGAUACCCUGGUAGUCCACGCUGUAAACGAUGAAUGUUAAAUAUGGGAAGUUUUACUUUCUGUAUUACAGCUAACGCGUUAAACAUUCCGCCUGGGGACUACGGUCGCAAGAUUAAACUCAAAGGAAUU